GUCUUUUUGAUAUUUUUAUUUAAAGUCUGACCUGCUCACUGAUAUAAUAUUAAAUAGCCGCGGUAUUUUGACCCGGUGCAAAGGUAGCAUAAUCAUUAGUUUUUUAAUUGAAGACUAGAAUGAAUGGUUUAACGAACGAGAAAAACUGUCUCAUUAUAAAAAUAUAAUUUAACUUUUAAGUUAAAAGGCUUAAAUAUUAAAUUUAAGGACGAGAAGACCCUAUAGAACUUAAAUAUAAUAAUAUAUUUAUUUUUAUGAUAUUAUUUUAUUAAAUAUAUUACAUUAUUUUAGUUGGGGUGACUGAUAAAAUAAAUAAACUUUUUAUCUUAUAGAAUUCACUUUUUGGUGUAAAGUUUUUGAUCCAUAAUUAAUGAUUAAAAGAUCUUAAGUUACCUUAGGGAUAACAGCGUAAUUACUUUUAGAGUUCAUAUUGAUAGAGUAGAUUGAGCGACCUCGAUGUUGGAUUAAGAUAAAAUUAAGGUGCAGUAGCUUUAUAUUUAGGUCUUU
This 507-nucleotide ribosomal RNA is filed under the name Erianthus versicolor. RNAcentral's name for it is "partial 16S ribosomal RNA". The record is from RNAcentral. Lineage: Eukaryota; Metazoa; Arthropoda; Insecta; Orthoptera; Chorotypidae.